Molecule: non-coding RNA, 28 nt
Filed under: Bombyx mori (domestic silkworm)
Lineage: Eukaryota; Metazoa; Arthropoda; Insecta; Lepidoptera; Bombycidae
Source: RNAcentral
UUCUAGGGUGUUGAAAUGCUGUCUCAGC